RNAcentral lists this unclassified non-coding RNA (492 nucleotides) under Hevea brasiliensis (rubber tree). The record is from RNAcentral. Lineage: Eukaryota; Viridiplantae; Streptophyta; Magnoliopsida; Malpighiales; Euphorbiaceae.
GGCUGUUGGUCUUAUGUUCUCAUCAUCAUCAGGAUUUUCCGCCGAUCUUCAGUUCUCAUCUGUUUCACCCCAGGAAAAGCAUUCAGGAACUGCACCUUUCAUUUCUCAGUCAACAUAUAGUGAGACAUCGAUCCAAUUACCUCAUUCGGGAGUUCUUCAGUCCACAGCAUCAAGCCAAUAUUUGAAUGAAAACCAUGAACCCUGGUGUAUAGAUCCACUGCCUAAUUUCCUUGAUUAUUCGAUGAAUAACCCUGUCCAGAAUAGUCAGGUAGCUUCUAGCAAUAAACAAAGCGAUUGGCAGGAGUGGGCCGACCUUGUACUCAAUGAUGAAGAUGCUCUACCUUCUGAUUGGAACGAUAUUAUUGCUGAUACAAGUAUUGGCGACUCGGAGCUGAAGAUGCAAUUUCAGGAGGAAAAACAACCUUUGAAUUUCCCAAUGCAGCAAGUCCAAGCAUCACAGCAAAUCCCACCUGUGCCUGUAGAAACUUCAGC